ACGCUGGCGGCGUGCCUAACACAUGCAAGUCGAACGGGGUUGCGGGAGCUUGCUUCUGCAGCUUAGUGGCGAACGGGUGAGUAACGCGUGAGGAACCUGCCUUUCAGUGGGGGGACAACAGUUGGAAACGACUGCUAAUACCGCAUAAUGUGCUUAGGGGGGCAUCCCUUGAGUAUCAAAGCUUUAUGUGCUGAAAGAUGGCCUCGCGUCUGAUUAGCUAGUUGGUGGGGUAACGGCCUACCAAGGCGACGAUCAGUAGCCGGACUGAGAGGUUGAACGGCCACAUUGGGACUGAGAUACGGCCCAGACUCCUACGGGAGGCAGCAGUCGGGAAUAUUGCGCAAUGGAGGAAACUCUGACGCAGUGACGCCGCGUAUAGGAAGAAGUUUUCGGAAUGUAAACUAUUGUUGUUAGGGAAGAGAAAGGACGGUACCUAAGGAGGAAGCCCGGCUAACUAUGUG
RNAcentral lists this ribosomal RNA (461 nucleotides) under uncultured bacterium. RNAcentral's name for it is "bacterial SSU rRNA". It matches the Rfam family "Bacterial small subunit ribosomal RNA", at positions 33 to 507 of the family's 1533-position model. The record is from RNAcentral.